UUGGCUUAGAAGCAGCCAUCAUUUAAAGAAAGCGUAAUAGCUCACUGGUCGAGUCGGCCUGCGCGGAAGAUGUAACGGGGCUAAACCAUGCACCGAAGCUGCGGCAGCGACACUAUGUGUUGUUGGGUAGGGGAGCGUUCUGUAAGCCUGUGAAGGUGUGCUGUGAGGCAUGCUGGAGGUAUCAGAAGUGCGAAUGCUGACAUAAGUAACGAUAAAGCGGGUGAAAAGCCCGCUCGCCGGAAGACCAAGGGUUCCUGUCCAACGUUAAUCGGGGCAGGGUGAGUCGACCCCUAAGGC
Molecule: ribosomal RNA, 297 nt
Filed under: Salmonella enterica subsp. enterica serovar Cerro
Lineage: Bacteria; Pseudomonadati; Pseudomonadota; Gammaproteobacteria; Enterobacterales; Enterobacteriaceae
Description: partial 23S ribosomal RNA
Rfam family: Bacterial large subunit ribosomal RNA
Source: RNAcentral